UACGGAGGGUGCAAGCGUUAUCCGGAUUCACUGGGCUUAAAGGGUGCGUAGGUGGUUUGAUAAGUCAGUGGUGAAAUCCCCGAGCUUAACUUGGGAACUGCCAUUGAUACUAUUGAUCUUGAAUACCGUGGAGGUCAGCGGAAUAUGUCAUGUAGCGGUGAAAUGCUUAGAUAUGACAUAGAACACCAAUUGCGAAGGCAGCUGGCUACGCCAAUAUUGACACUGAUGCACGAAAGCGUGGGGAUCAAACAGG
Molecule: ribosomal RNA, 253 nt
Filed under: uncultured bacterium
Lineage: Bacteria
Description: partial 16S ribosomal RNA
Rfam family: Bacterial small subunit ribosomal RNA
Source: RNAcentral